Molecule: unclassified non-coding RNA, 23 nt
Filed under: Mus musculus (house mouse)
Lineage: Eukaryota; Metazoa; Chordata; Mammalia; Rodentia; Muridae
Description: oocyte_clustered_small_RNA4972
Source: RNAcentral
UCUUGAAGAGGAACAGCGGCAGU